CGUGACCUACUGAACCUCCCAUUCCAGCCCUGACUCUGCCAUGGGCACCAGGCUCCUCAGCUUCAUGACCUUCUUUCUCCUGGGGGCAGAUCACACCGAUGCUGGAAUCUCCCAGUCCCCCAGGCACAGAGUCACAGAGAGAGGACAGGAUGUAGCUCUCAAGUGUGAUCCAAUUUCUGGUCACACCUACCUUUACUGGUACCGACAGACACUGGGGCAGAACUUGGAGUUUCUGACUUACUUUCAGGAUGAUCUUGCAUCAGACACAUCAGGGAUGCCUGAUGAUCGAUACUCUGCCAAGAGGCCCGAGGGCUCCUCCUCCACUCUGAAGAUCCAGCGUGCAGAGCAGGGGGACUCGGCCUUGUAUCUCUGUGCCAGCAGCUCAGCCACAGCGUGGCACAGUCACUUCCUUCCUCUCCACAAACCCCAUGUGCUACCUCUCCGUAUGGCUCCCAGAAUCCUGAACAAAGGAGUUGCCUGCUCUUCCCUCAUCAAGGGGAACAAGUGCUUUGGGAUCCGCUGUUCUUCUGACAGGAGGAGGUCAGGAAACAACCUUCCACACACUGGGGCAGAUGACGUUGGGAAGCGAUAA
Equus quagga is the source of this 592-nucleotide non-coding RNA. NCBI's taxonomy places the organism in Eukaryota, Metazoa, Chordata, Mammalia, Perissodactyla, Equidae. The record is from the annotation of a RefSeq genome assembly.